This is a non-coding RNA of Electrophorus electricus (electric eel), 294 nucleotides long. Lineage: Eukaryota; Metazoa; Chordata; Actinopteri; Gymnotiformes; Gymnotidae. The record is from RefSeq and is a predicted model, not a curated record.
UAGGACGGCCCCUAUCUAAAAUAGAAAUAUAAAGCAGAGUCCAUGAGGUCGCACUCGCUGUACCUGCCACUAAAGUUGGACUACAGAGAACAAUCUGAUCUCUUCUUUUCCACAUGUGAUGGCGCAUUGGUUUCCUUUCCCAUUGGAGCCAAGUUAACUAUACCGACGCUUCUCCACCCCACAGGGACAUUACUGAACAUGAAUCGUCAGUAACACAGUCUGUAUAAAACUCGAAGCAUCUCUGAAGCUACAAAAACAAAGACAUGAGAUCGAUGAACCAUGUGAAUCUUACAA